RNAcentral lists this ribosomal RNA (497 nucleotides) under uncultured bacterium. RNAcentral's name for it is "partial 16S ribosomal RNA". It matches the Rfam family "Bacterial small subunit ribosomal RNA", at positions 28 to 507 of the family's 1533-position model. The record is from RNAcentral.
GAUGAACGCUGGCGGCGUGCCUAAUACAUGCAAGUCGAGCGAACAGACGAGGAGCUUGCUCCUCUGACGUUAGCGGCGGACGGGUGAGUAACACGUGGAUAACCUACCUAUAAGACUGGGAUAACUUCGGGAAACCGGAGCUAAUACCGGAUAACAUAUUGAACCGCAUGGUUCAAUAGUGAAAGACGGUUUUGCUGUCACUUAUAGAUGGAUCCGCGCCGCAUUAGCUAGUUGGUAAGGUAACGGCUUACCAAGGCGACGAUGCGUAGCCGAACUGAGAGGGUGGUCGGCGACACUGGAGCGGAGACGCGCACCAGAGUACUACGAGACGCAGCAGUAGGGAAUCGUCCGCAGUAGGCGGGAGCAUGACAGAGCAGCGCCACGUGAGAGAUGGAGGUCUCGGGAGCGGGAUGAUCGGUUAUUAGUGAAGAACAAAUGUGUAAGGAAAUAUGCACGUAGUGACGGUACCUGCAGAGGAAGCCACGGCUAACUACGUG